GCACAUCUGACUUCAACUAGAGACCAGGCCAUCUCUAGGAACAGUGACAUCCAGAUUACAAAUGAUUCCAGGGUUUGUAGCAUUUCUUCCUUCAAAACCCUAAAUCUCUUUCUUGGCACACCAUGCCAAGAAUUUAUUUUCAACUGUGCUUCAAUAUAUACUUCAAUCCAGCCUGCUAAACAUAACUGUAAACUUUAUUACAGCACAAGCUGGCACGCAUGAAUCCCUACCAUAUUAAAUUACUUAAUUGAGCAAACAUACCAGGAAACACCCCCACCUUCAUGCUCAUCACGCCUUUCCCUCUAACAACUUGCACACUGGUUUACUAUUUUAUACCAGGAACCUGAUAGCGGACACACAGAAUGCCGCAGCUGUUUACUCACCUACAAAAUACUUAUGUUUCACUGUUGUCAGUUACGAGCUCACAACAACUGAGAGCAAAAAACACUUGUGAGACAUUGAGCUAACGUUUGUAGCAAUUAUCACAGAACAAAGCUGUCAAUUGAAGAGACAGGUGCUUGCUUACAUUACAUGCUCUUAGAAGGGUCAAAGACAACUCGGUUUCUACUUGAUCUCAUGAGCAAGCUUAGGUCCUAUGGACAAGUCCAUCCAGAAGAGCAGACACCACGCUUGGGGGAAGAGCAGCCUUCAACUAAGCUGUGAGGGACAACUUCCAAAAGGAAGAACUGAGCUUAUCCUGAUGGCUGAACAUCCCCUUAUGGCUUAACCCCGUUACUAAAGCAGGCUGCAGACGGGGCGAGAAAGGAAAGGAACCAGAGCACUCCUCUCCAGACAGAGGAGCCACACACUGAGUCAGGCCCCAGCGCUGCAAGCACGGGAGCCUCUCCGGGAAGCUGGACUAGGAGUAGGGAUCAUUCAAAACGUGUCACACAUCAAAAAAAAAAAA
Long non-coding RNA from Neopelma chrysocephalum (saffron-crested tyrant-manakin), 907 nucleotides. RefSeq lists it as uncharacterized. The transcript is spliced from 2 exons. The record is from RefSeq and is a predicted model, not a curated record. NCBI's taxonomy places the organism in Eukaryota, Metazoa, Chordata, Aves, Passeriformes, Pipridae.